AUGCACGCUGGCGGCGUGCCUCAUCCCUGCCAGUCGCGCGAACAGACGAGGAGCUUGCUCCUCUGACGUUAGCGGCGGACGGGUGAGUAACACGUGGAUAACCUACCUAUAAGACUGGGAUAACUUCGGGAAACCGGAGCUAAUACCGGAUAAUAUAUUGAACCGCAUGGUUCAAUAGUGAAAGACGGCUUUGCUGUCACUUAUAGAUGGAUCCGCGCCGCAUUAGCUAGUUGGUAAGGUAACGGCUUACCAAGGCAACGAUGCGUAGCCGACCUGAGAGGGUGAUCGGCCACACUGGAACUGAGACACGGUCCAGACUCCUACGGGAGGCAGCAGUAGGGAAUCUUCCGCAAUGGGCGAAAGCUUGACGGAGCAACGCCGCGUGAGUGAUGAAGGUCUUCGGAUCGUAAAACUCUGUUAUUAGGGAAGAACAAAUGUGUAAGUAACUAUGCACGUCUUGACGGUACCUAAUCAGAAAGCCACGGCUAACUACGUG
Molecule: ribosomal RNA, 496 nt
Filed under: uncultured bacterium
Lineage: Bacteria
Description: partial 16S ribosomal RNA
Rfam family: Bacterial small subunit ribosomal RNA
Source: RNAcentral